CAUGCAGGUCGAGGGGCAGCAUUUUAGUUUGCUUGCAAACUAAAGAUGGCGACCGGCGCACGGGCUGAGCUAACACGCUAUCCAACCUGCCGAUAACUCGGGGAUAGCCUUUCGAAAGAAAGAUUAAUAUCCGAUAGUAUAUUAAAACCGCAUGGUUUUACUAUUAAAGAAUUUCGGUUAUCGAUGGGGAUGCGUUCCAUUAGUUUGUUGGCGGGGUAACGGCCCACCAAGACUACGAUGGAUAGGGGUUCUGAGAGGAAGGUCCCCCACAUUGGAACUGAGACACGGUCCAAACUCAUACGGGAGGCAGCAGUGAGGAAUAUUGGUCAAUGGACGAGAGUCUGAACCAGCCAAGUAGCGUGAAGGAUGACUGCCCUAUGGGUUGUAAACUUCUUUUAUAUGGGAAUAAAGUAUUCCACGUGUGGGAUUUUGUAUGUACCAUAUGAAUAAGGAUCGGCUAACUCCGUGCCAGCAGCCGCGGUAAUACGGAGGAUCCGAGCGUUAUCCGGAUUUAUUGGGUUUAAAGGGAGCGUAGGUGGAUUGUUAAGUNCAGUUGUGAAAGUUUGCGGCUCAACCGUAAAAUUGCAGUUGAAACUGGCAGUCUUGAGUACAGUAGAGGUGGGCGGAAUUCGUGGUGUAGCGGUGAAAUGCUUUAGAUAUCACGAAGAACUCCGAUUGCGAAGGCAGCUCACUAGACUGCAACUGACACUGAUGCUCGAAAGUGUGGGUAUCAAACAGGAUUAGAUACCCUGGUAGUCCACACAGUAAACGAUGAAUACUCGCUGUUUGCGAUAUACAGUAAGCGGCCAAGCGAAAGCAUUAAGUAUUCCACCUGGGGGAGUACGCCGGCAACGGUGAAACUCAAAGGGAAAUUGACGGGGGCCCGCACAAAGCGGAAGGAACAUGUGGGUUUAAUUCCGAUGAUACGCGAGGAACCUUACCCGGGCUUAAAUUGCAUUUGAAUAAUCUGGAAACAGGUUAGCCGCAAGGCAAAUGUGAAGGUGCUGCAUGGUUGUCGUCAGCUCGUGCCGUGAGGUGUCGGCUUAAGUGCCAUAACGAGCGCAACCCUUAUCUUUAGUUACUAACAGGUCAUGCUGAGGACUCUAGAGAGACUGCCGUCGUAAGAUGUGAGGAAGGUGGGGAUGACGUCAAAUCAGCACGGCCCUUACGUCCGGGGCUACACACGUGUUACAAUGGGGGGUACAGAAGGCAGCUACCUGGCGACAGGAUGCUAAUCCCAAAAACCUCUCUCAGUUCGGAUCGAAGUCUGCAACCCGACUUCGUGAAGCUGGAUUCGCUAGUAAUCGCGCAUCAGCCAUGGCGCGGUGAAUACGUUCCCGGGCCUUGUACAAACCGCCCGUCAAGCCAUGAAAGCCGGGGGUACCUGAAGUACGAACCGCAAGGAGCUCCUAGG
This 1414-nucleotide ribosomal RNA is filed under the name bacterium NLAE-zl-G154. Its description in RNAcentral is "16S ribosomal RNA". It matches the Rfam family "Bacterial small subunit ribosomal RNA". The record is from RNAcentral.